RNA transcript from Abrus precatorius (Indian licorice), 2713 nucleotides. It is a transcript of the gene named transport inhibitor response 1-like protein, with no coding region annotated. The transcript has 4 exons. NCBI's taxonomy places the organism in Eukaryota, Viridiplantae, Streptophyta, Magnoliopsida, Fabales, Fabaceae. The record is from RefSeq and is a predicted model, not a curated record.
GAGGAUGAGAGAGAGGAUCUGAAUGCUGAGGUGAAAGACAGGUGAGCAGAGCAGAGCAGAGCAGAGCAGAAGCUGAGGAACGAGCAAAGCACUGAGUCCUCUCCUCAGACCUGAACAAUUGAAGGCAACUAAAAACUAAACUCAACUUUGUCUUCAUUUUUCAUUGGAACGAAAGCAUGUUCGUAAAGAUUCCAUCUCACAGACACAGACACUGAUAACAGCCAGAUCGAUCGGGAAUAAUGGAAAACAAAAACGAGUCAUCCAUCUCGACCAAAACCCGAAACUGCAUCGGGUCGGAUCCUAACUCGCCACCCCCAGACCAAGUACUAGAAAUAGUACUAGAAAACGUCCUUCACUUCCUCACCUCACGCCGCGACCGCAACGCCGCCUCAUUGGUCUGCAAAUCAUGGUACCGCGCCGAAGCCCUCACCCGAUCCCACCUCUUCAUCGGCAACUGCUACGCCCUCUCUCCAAUACGCGCCACCUCACGCUUCCCGCGCGUGCGCUCCGUCACCAUCAAAGGGAAACCUCGCUUCGCAGAUUUCGAUCUCAUGCCCCUCAAUUGGGGUGCCCACUUCAGCCCUUGGGCCACCGCAUUCACCACCUCUUACCCUUCCCUUCACCACCUUCACCUCAAACGCAUGUCCCUCACCGAUCACGAUCUCUCUCUCAUCGCUCACUCCUUCCCUUCUUUCACCCAACUCGUUCUCAUCUGUUGCGAAGGCUUCGCCACCGCCGGCCUCGCCGCCGUCGCCGCCAACUGCAGAUUUUUGAGAGUGCUUGAACUUGUAGAAUCUGUGGUUGAGGUUGGUGACGACGAGGAAGAAGUGGAUUGGAUAUCGUGUUUUCCUGAGACUCAGACUCAUUUGGAGUCUCUUGUUUUUGACUGUGUUGAAUGUCCGGUUAAUUUUGAGGCUUUGGAGAGGCUUGUGGCUAGGUCUCCUUCGUUGAAGAAGCUUAGGUUGAAUCGAUAUGUUUCCAUCUCUCAGAUGUACCGUUUGAUGCAUCGAGCGCCGCAUCUCACGCAUCUUGGAACUGGGUCUUUUGGUGCUUCUGAGGUUAUGGCUGUUGGGGAUCAUGAACCUGAUUACGCAUCUGCAUUUGCAGCUUGCAAAUCCUUGGUUUGUUUGUCUGGAUUUAGGGAAAUUUGGCCGGAUUAUCUGCCUGCUAUUUACCCUGUUUGUGCAAAUCUCACAUCUUUGAAUUUCAGCUAUGCUGAUAUCAAUGCAGAUCAGCUCAAAUCAGUGAUUCGCCACUGCCAUAAGCUUAAGACGUUCUGGGUUCUUGAUUCAAUAUGUGAUGAAGGGCUUCAAGCAGUGGCUGCGACUUGCAAAGAUUUGCGGGAGCUUCGAGUUUUCCCUGUUAACACAAGGGAGGAGACAGAAGGUCCUGUUUCUGAGGUGGGGUUUGAGGCAAUUUCUCGAGGUUGUAGGAAAUUGCAAUCAAUUCUGUUUUUCUGCCAGAGAAUGACAAAUGCAGCUGUGGUAGCCAUGUCAAAGAACUGCCCUGAUCUUGCGGUGUUUCGAUUGUGUAUAAUUGGUCGAUAUCGGCCAGACCCCGAGACACUAGAACCCAUGGAUGAGGGUUUUGGUGCCAUUGUUAUGAACUGCAAGCAGCUCACUAGGCUUGCCGUGUCUGGUUUGCUGACUGAUCGAGCUUUUGGUUACAUUGGGAUGUAUGGGAAGUUGAUUAGGACACUGUCAGUUGCCUUUGCUGGAGACACAGACAUGGGCCUCAAGUAUGUGCUAGAAGGAUGCCCCAAGCUGCAAAAGCUUGAAAUCAGGGAUAGUCCAUUUGGCGACAGAGCUCUGCGUUCUGGUUUGCAUCAUUUUUACAACAUGAGGUUCCUCUGGAUGUCGUCCUGCAAAUUGACGCGCCAAGCUUGUCAAGAAGUUGCGCGAAGGUUGCCCCAUCUGGUGUUGGAAGUCAUCAAUAGUGAAGAGGACAAAGUUGAUGAGAUUGAGAUUCUGUACAUGUAUAGGUCUCUUGACAGGCCACGGGACGAUGCUCCAAAAGUUGUUACAAUCCUUCGUUAGUCUUCUGAAGCUCACCUUAGAAUAGUGGCUGCCAAGUGAAAUUAUAUAGCAGGGAUUUUUAAAUAAACCUGCAGGAGAUCAAAACAAGUUCAGCUAACAACUGCUGUUUUUGGCCAGAGUUACUGUGAUUGCAGGCCAUAAAGAUGCUUAUUCUGGGGCAAAGCAUUUCCAAUUCUGCAUUCUUGUUUGGGGAUGAGAACUUGGGUUCUGGAGGGGAAGAGUUAAUGUUAGAUAGGGGAGGAAUGAUGCAGAAGAUUAAACGAAAAAUCCCGCAGAGUUGGGGAAGGUAGAGGAGAUUGCUGAAGCUGCCCUGAGGAUUUGUUAGUGUUACUCGUCUCCUUGAUCAGAUAAAUGGGUCUAUUCUAUUGAGAAGCAGACUCAGAAAGAUCAAAGCAACGGAAAUUUUGGAGGUGACAUUCUCUAACUCCUCCACCGUAGCAGUAGAAAAGCAAAAGCAUUCCCUUUGUAAGGACUUAGUCUGUGUAUUUUGAUUCAGAUGAUAGAUAGUUUAAGCUUAGGUGGCGAGAGUCCAAAUACCAGACUGGUACAAGCUUAUCUGCUUUCCCCUUAUCUCACCGUUUGUUUUCUUAGAUGUGUUUCUGUGGCUUCUGACUUUUGAGUUUAUUUUUAAGUUAACAUGGUGACAUGGUUAAUAAAUGCCAGAAAAUGCAUGGACC